Molecule: long non-coding RNA, 234 nt
Filed under: Callithrix jacchus (white-tufted-ear marmoset)
Lineage: Eukaryota; Metazoa; Chordata; Mammalia; Primates; Cebidae
Description: lncRNA (ENSCJAG00000079167.1)
Source: RNAcentral
ACAGGCAUGACUACCUACCUGCCGUGGAGCUGAAGGAUGCAGCAACAAGGUACCAUAUUGGAACCAGAGACUGAACCUUCCAGCACCUUGCUUUUGAACUUCCCAGCCUCCAGAACUGAAUUUCCCGGCACAAAUUUGCUUGGUGCCAACCUUGUGAGACGGGACUUGCUCCUCCUUGCCUUCUGCCAUGAUUGUGAGGCCUUCCCAGCCACGUGGAACUCAAAUUGUGCUUGA